ACAAGCAGCUAUAUCACCCUGCAGCUCUUAACUAGCUACCCACUGAAGCUAAUCAGGGUUGAGCCUGGCCAGUACCUCGUACCUGGAUGGGUGACCUCCUGGGAAGCUAUGGUUGCUGCUGGAA
RNAcentral lists this ribosomal RNA (124 nucleotides) under Lepisosteus oculatus (spotted gar). Lineage: Eukaryota; Metazoa; Chordata; Actinopteri; Semionotiformes; Lepisosteidae. The record is from RNAcentral.